CAGCACCUCAAGUGGUCAGGAUGAUUAUUGUGCCUAAAGCAUCCGUAGCCGGCUCUGUAAGUUUUCGGUUAAAUCUGUACGCUCAACGUACAGGCUGCCGGGAAUACUGCAGAGCUAGGGAGUGGGAGAGGUAGACGGUACUCGGUAGGAAGGGGUAAAAUCCUUUGAUCUAUUGAUGACCACCUGUGGCGAAGGCGGUCUACCAGAACACGUCCGACGGUGAGGGAUUAAAGCUGGGGGAGCAAACCGGAUUAGAUACCCGCGUAGUCC
This 270-nucleotide ribosomal RNA is filed under the name uncultured archaeon. RNAcentral's name for it is "partial 16S ribosomal RNA". It matches the Rfam family "Archaeal small subunit ribosomal RNA", at positions 477 to 747 of the family's 1478-position model. The record is from RNAcentral.